UAAGCGUUAAGUAAUGAAGUGGGUGUAAGGAAAAAAAAAAUUACGCUUUCUCUCUCUAUAUCCCUCUUCCCCCAAAAGUUCCCCCCUUUCUCUUUCUCUCUCUGCAAACCCUAGCUCCGUUCCUUCACCGCCAUCGCCAUCACAAUCACCAUGGCUAAGAAGCGAAAGGUUCGACCUUCCGAGCCCGAACCCCCCAAACAAGAGCAAGAGCAAGAGCUUCAACAACAACAGCCACCACACGAAGAACUAACCUUAGAUCAACAACAAAGCAUGACCAUCGAUGACGCAGCGCCACAACAAGACCAACCUCAAAACGACAUCGCAAUAGAAGAAGAACAAAACAACGAAGGAGAAGGAGAAGAAGAAGCAGAAGAAGAACAGCAACAGGAGGAUCAGCAGCAACAACAGCAAGGAGGGGGAGAAACCCUAGAAAGCCAGGAAGAGCAGAUUCAACAGCAGGCUUCGGGUUCGGAUUCGGUCCGGGCCGAGGCUAACGGCUCCGAGCAGCAACAGGAAGAGGAGGACCUCGAUUUGGAAGACGAGCCAAUCGAGAAGCUUCUAGAACCCUUCACGAAGGAGCAGCUACACUCCCUUGUCAAGCAAGCCGUCGAGAAGCACCCCGAUUUCUCCGAAACCGUUCGCCAGCUGGCAGAUGUGGACCCCGCACACCGGAAGAUCUUCGUCCAUGGGCUUGGCUGGGACACUACCGCAGAAACCCUAACCGCCGUGUUCGGAAAAUACGGCGAAAUUGAAGACUGCAAGGCCGUGACGGACAAAAUCUCCGGAAAAUCGAAGGGAUACGCGUUCAUCCAAUUCAAGCACCGCGCUGGAGCGCGAAGGGCGCUUAAGCAGCCGCAGAAGAAGAUUGGGAACAGAACAACUUCGUGCCAGUUGGCCUCUGCGGGACCUGUUCCGUCGCAGCAGGCGGCCGCGCCGGGUGCCCCGGUUGUGUCAGAGUAUACACAGAGGAAGAUCUUUGUUAGCAAUGUGAGUGCGGAGAUUGAUCCUCAGAGGCUUCUGGAAUUCUUCAAGCAGUUCGGGGAGAUUGAGGAUGGGCCUCUUGGGAUUGACAAGCAGACAGGGAAGCCUAAAGGGUUUGCUCUUUUCGUGUACAAAACAGUUGAGAGUGCGAAGAAGGCGUUGGAGGAGCCAAACAAGAACUUUGAAGGGCACACCCUUUAUUGCCAGAAGGCUGUUGAUGGUCCCAAAGGGUUCAAUAAGGGUGGAUUUCAUCAGCAGCAGCAUCACCAUCAACAGCACUAUCAGCACCAAUCACAUCACCAUCAUCAGGGUCACUUUCAUAGGAAGGAUAAGAACAAGUAUUCCGCUGGUGGGCCUGCACAUGGCGGUGGUGCUGGUCACUUGAUGGCGCCGUCGGCUCCAGGGCCUGCUGUUGGAGGUUACAAUCCUGGUGUGCCACCUGCUGCUGCGGCGCAGGGUCUCAACCCUGCACUUGGGCAGGCGCUGACGGCGUUGCUUGCUAAUCAGGGUGCCGGAUUGGGACUUGGGAACCUGCUUGGAGGGAUCGGUGGUGCUCCUGUGAACCAGCCUGGUCCACCUGCUGGUGGAUAUGGGACUCAGCCAGCUAUGGGAUAUGGGAACCAGCCGGGGAUGCAGCCGCAGUACCAGAAUCCUCAGAUGGGGCAGAGUAGUGGGGUUAGGCCUCACCCCGGUGCUGGCGCACCUUACAUGGGUCAUUAGGCAACAAUUGGUGACACAUGCUGGUGUGUUCGUCUCGCUGUAUAUAAGUGUCAAGUGUGCUCUGGUUUGUAGUGAAUGUCGUGGAGAAGAUCUGAUGGGUGCUAUCAUGUUACCAUCUUUGGACUUAACAAUGGUUUCAGAAAGGCAUCAUGAUGAUGGAGAGGCAGUUGACAUGUUUUCUCAAGUCAUGAUGGUAUUCUUGAAUGGAGCUGAUAAAUCUCUAGAGGUGUUAUUAGGCAAGGAGUUAUGUAUGGGAAAAUCUAUUGGUGCUUCUUUCUUUGAAUUGGAAAACUUCUAGAGAGAAGGGUGUUCAAAGUAUAAUUAGUCAUAUUAAAGAAGGUUUUGCAUGCUAUUAACACACAAAUUUAUGAUUACAGUGGUUAAUUAACUUUCGUGGAUUAUUGUUUGCAACCAUAUAGGGCUCUACCAUUGCAUGCCUUUGAACUGAA
Arachis ipaensis is the source of this 2150-nucleotide non-coding RNA. Lineage: Eukaryota; Viridiplantae; Streptophyta; Magnoliopsida; Fabales; Fabaceae. The record is from RefSeq and is a predicted model, not a curated record.